This 529-nucleotide long non-coding RNA is filed under the name Homo sapiens (human). RNAcentral's name for it is "non-protein coding lnc-NUMB-1:8". Lineage: Eukaryota; Metazoa; Chordata; Mammalia; Primates; Hominidae. The record is from RNAcentral.
GCUCUUGCUUGCUUGCACUGAUGAAGUAAGCUGCCACGUUGUGAGAUGCUCAACGAAGAGGCCCAUGAGGCAGGGCACCGAGGGAGGCUUCUGGCCAACAGCUCCUGGGGAACCAAGGCCUUAGGAAGUGAGUCCUGCCAACAAUAACGAGAGCCUUGAACUUUGAAACCACAGUACCUUGUUCCAGCGUGGAAAGCAGCGUGGCACUUCCCGGUGGUGAAAGCACCCCAGCUUGAAAGGGUGAAAACACCUUCUCCCAGAUAGUCUCCCUUUGUUUAGCCAGUGCUUUUGCCUUAAGGAAAUCAAAUGAAGAUUUGAGGCUUAAGCAACUUCUUCCGGGGAAGAGUGCCAGUGCAGCCACUGUUACAAUUCAAGAUCUUGAUCUAUAUCCAUAGAUUGGAAUAUUGGUGGGCCAGCAAUCCUCAGACGCCUCACUUAGGACAAAUGAGGAAACUGAGGCUUGGUGAAGUUACGAAACUUGUCCAAAAUCACACAACUUGUAAAGGGCACAGCCAAGAUUCAGAGCCAG